This is a long non-coding RNA of Oreochromis niloticus (Nile tilapia), 1666 nucleotides long. The record is from Ensembl. Lineage: Eukaryota; Metazoa; Chordata; Actinopteri; Cichliformes; Cichlidae.
UGCUCUUAUUAUAUAUACUCUUAACUUCAUCUCUUUUUUUAAAGGCACCUAUAUACAUAGAUAGUUAAUAGGUUUAUUAUUACUGUUAGAGAAAGUUUGAAAUAACCAUAUUACAAAUUACUGACUGAAAACUGUACUUAUUGGAAACCCAGACUGUGUAUUGGUGGUAUUGUAACACAAUGAUGCAAUUAGUUUAAUACGUCAUGAAGAUUUCUGUGAAAGUGAAACAACAGAAAGUGCUCAAUGUAAACACAUAUCAGAUGUGCGCCAUCAGGGAGGUGGCUGCAGGUCUGCAUUAAAGCACUGUGUAAAGUCCCAUCUCUUCAUUUCAUUUAUCAGCUUGUAUUUGCAUCACAGUGAUGGCAGCAGCAGUUUUGGACAGAAGCAGAGGGGUGGCUGUUUUCAGCAUCAACAAAGGCCUGUUCCUCAUGUCCACCCUGCUGUGUCUGGUUUGCCUUUCAAGUGCCCUGAUAGACAAGGACCAACUGGAAAAACUGAAAGACGACUAUCAGAAAUCACACCAGCAACUAGAAAAACUGAAGAUUGUGUUCAAACAACAAGUGACUGACUCCAAACAACAAAUGACUGUGUUCAAACAACAAGUGACUGAGAUUACAGAGAUGCUGAAGGAAACCGAGGCUUACAUUGAUAGGGAGGAAAAGCAGUUGGGAGGGAAAAUAGAAGAAAGUGAAAAAUGUCUACAAAAUCAGAAGAAAUUUAUUGAAUUCCUUGAGGAACUGCAAGCUGAAUUGUAACUUCCAUCUCAGUGAUUUCCUUUUUCUCUGAUGUUGCAUCUGUUUAGUUCCCUUAUCAUAUAGUACUUGUUUAAGUUUGGUUUAACUUUUUUAAAAGUGUCCCCCUUCUUUACAAUUUUACAUAAACUCCAGAGGAUUUUAUGUGUUAAUGAAGUUUAAGGAAUACAUUUUCAGAACUUACAGAUUUUUCUACCAUUACUUGAUUUCUGCAGUGGAAAAAAAUGUUUGUAUGACCUGACACAUAAAAAAAACAUUAACCUACUACUGUUACUGUUUGUUGUCAGAAUAUCUAUCUCAAAAUAUACGACUUUUUUUGCCGUAUCCCCAGCAGUCAGCCACAAAAGUGGAUUAACUAAAAUAUAUGUGACCUAUUUGCAAAUUAUGUAAAGAUAAACAAAAUUGUUCAGUUUUAAAAUAUAUUUAAAGAUUGCAUUUAUAAUUUAGUGCACUCUGUAGUGCUUCACUUUUUUUCUCCUCAUGUUGUCAUUAAGGCAUUUUCAUCUGUCUCAUAGCGACACUGUGCAUGUUCCAGUAAAGACAAACAGGCAAAAUAAAGUUAUUUGUAAAACAAAUGUGAAAGCCUGAGCUUCAAAGUUAAGCUAAGAUGAAAGUCUUACUGCAUCUACACACAUACAAACACAGUGCAACAACCUACCCAAAAACACACACACACAGAAGAGCUGAGCACUAUUUUACCACCAUUGGAAGACGUUGUUCCCAGUUUAAGGAAAUGCACUGCACUGGUUUGAAUCAUAUCUACCUGACAAAUUUCAGUUUGUAAAUGCAAGUUGGGAGUCUGCUUCAUGUACAAAAGUUAGUCAUUGAGUUUCAAAGAAUUCUGUGCUGGGAACAAUUCUGUUCAGAUUAAACUUGUUCCCUUAGGCAGUACUGUAAGAAAACACUGCAUACAU